Arabis alpina (gray rockcress) is the source of this 97-nucleotide microRNA precursor. It matches the Rfam family "MIR9560 microRNA precursor family". NCBI's taxonomy places the organism in Eukaryota, Viridiplantae, Streptophyta, Magnoliopsida, Brassicales, Brassicaceae. The record is from Rfam.
GUGUGUUUUGACAGGUGGUGGAACAAAUAUGAGUUUAUAUAUUAAUUAGACAACAACAUAAAACUCAUAUUAGUUCUACCUCCUGCUGAAUCACUCA